Molecule: long non-coding RNA, 2863 nt
Filed under: Malus domestica (apple)
Lineage: Eukaryota; Viridiplantae; Streptophyta; Magnoliopsida; Rosales; Rosaceae
Description: long non-coding RNA (MDOM_LNC006144)
Source: RNAcentral
CCAUAAGGGUGAGUGGAUGCAAACUUGAAUUAAUUACAAGUUUGCCACUUACAUGUGAUGUAGUAUAAAGUCAACUUUAUAGCUUUUUCUCAUUAGGGUUUUCUUGAGGCAAAGAAGAGAAACACUUUCUCUCAUUUUCUCUAAAAGGAGGCCGGCCACUUAGGGAAGAAUUAGCUAGCAAUAUUUUUUUCUAUAAGUCAUCCAUUUCAUCUUCACACCUCAUCCUUGGUGUGGAGACUUAGAGACACCAAAUCUUUGGUGUUCUUGGAGAUCCUUUGCUCACAUCCUCAAGGAGCAAAGGAGCAUCAAAAGGAAGAAAAACACAAGGAAGAUCCAAGGAGCUAGGAGGUGACAUGAAGGCCCUCCACUUGGGUGAAUCCCUUGUGCAAACAAGGAUGAGUUUCAAGGGUAAUGAAUCUCUAAAUCCUUCCUUCUCUUUAAUAUUGUUAAAGAGUCUUGUGGUUCACCAUUCACUAGGCUUUGAAAGUCAUGGGUUUUAGAAUUGUUUUUUUAAUGCAUGCCUACUUUAAUGUGUUAUUAGUUUGCAUAUGUGUUCAAAUGUUUUCACAUGUUCUUAGCUAGGACAAAUUUUUUCCUUCAAGUGGUAGCAAGAGCCGAGGUCUAGUUUAUGGUGAAUCCUUUUGGGUUUUGUGUUUUUUCAUGGUUUGUAAUUUAAAUGUUGUAAAUGUUACAAGCUUUGUUCUUGCUUUUGAAUAUAAAUUUUGCUUGAAAAUUUAGCAUCUCAAAUGUUGUAGAUGUAGUUCAUUUAAGCAUGAAUAUUGGAACUAAAAUUUGGUGCCAUGUAUGUGGGGAAAUUCGGCCAAAUCCAAAUGGUGGAUUUUUGGGUUCAUGUUUGUCUUGUUAAAAGAGUUUUAAAGUGACUUUAGGAACCCCCUAAGUGCCCUAGGAUGUUAACCCUCUUUUGUAUAGUGAAAAUUUGAGUUUUAUUGAGUGAAAACAUUCAUGGAGCUCUUAUGAGUUUUCAUGUAUGUUCUUCAAAGUUCUUGAAGUUCUUACCAAGAACAAAAAGGUUUGGUGUUUUGAUUCAAAGUGUUUGAUGUUUUUCAUAAAGUUUUGUUUAUGGUGGUUGGUGUGGCUUUAUUGUAACGACAUGAUUUGUCCUUUUCAAUCAAUUUUUACACCCAUCCCUUUCACCCUUUUUCCACUCUUUAAAAUUUGAAUUUUCACCAAAACCUCCCCCCCCCCCUUUUUCACUACCAAAACCAGCCACCCUACAAAGUAGGGUACUUUUGGGGCCUUUAUUUAAUUACAUAAAGUUUUGAUACUUUUGUGUAUUUAUACUUUGGCCCAAAAGUUUACGUUUUUACGUAAAGGCCCAAAAUCACUAAAGGACAAAUUGUUUUGCUCCUUUAAUGAAGUUUUUGUUAUUGUUGAAAUUUUUGGGUUCUAGUUGUAAUUACAUGAAGUUGUGGACUCUUGUGAUUUUACAAAGUGACCCCAAAAGUUUAAGUUUUAACAUUGGGGCCCAAUAGUUGUGGUCAUUGUUUUUCGGCCCAAAAGAUGAUGAGAACAAAAUGGUUUUGUCUCUUUAAUGAGAAUUGGAUUUUCAUUUCAUUUAGUUCCAUUUAAAUCAAUUAUAUGAAUCCGAAAACCAAUUGUUUAAGUUUCUUUCUUAGUUAAUAUGAUUGAUUAAGAAAAUGGUGAUUAUGAACCAAAGGCCUCGAUAAUUGAGCUAUAUGAUUGGCCGCUUUACAUUAUGAAUGCUUGGGUUAAGUAGUUUAGAUUUGAAUGUAAUUUGAUUAGUUUAAAUUUGUUGUAAAUGGACAUAAGUCCAUCAAAUGUGUUGUAAAAGGUCAUAAGCCCUUCUUUUUUUUUCAAGUAUUCCUAUUUGUUUAUUUGUAUGCAAAUUGGAAUACUUGGGUCCAUGCCUAAUAGGAAAUAACGGUUUAAUUAGAUUAAACGCGUAACUAAAAUCAACAACUACCUACCUUAGACCCAAGGUCCAACACAAGGCUCGUGUUGGAUCAAAUCAAACAGUUCAUAAUCAUCCUAAGACCUAAUAUGACUAUAUAGUCCAUAUGAGGAUGCAAAGCAUUCGUUAGUAGUUCCAUAUAGUCUCUCUUGUUUCAUCGAAAUAGUGGGAGUAUUAUAUACUACUAAUUCAUAUUAACUUGGACCAAUGGUUGUGAUAGGCCCAAGUUCUUUUAAUAAGAUUAAAAUAAAAUUGAUGUAGCCCAACACUACUCCCUCAACAAAAUGAAUAUUAAGUUGAUAAGCGAGAGAUGCUUUGAACAUCUCUUCGUAGGCCUUCCACCAUGGUGGGCUCCAAUCGUUUGUGACUCCUACACCGACUUCACCCUAUCAUGGGGAAGUUCAAAGUAUGUGCUUACAUUCAGAAGGAGUCCAUAUGUACAUACAUGAUGUGGUGAGGUAGGCAACGAGGAUGGCCGACAUCAUAUCAUUGUAAGGCUAUUCUUGAACCCCUACACGAACUAGCAUGGUGGGAAUAACUUAACUAAGUGCAAUGGUGCCAACAUCAUAUCAUUGUGAGGCAUCAUUCUCUAGAGGCCAAAAUAGAUGGGUAAUUACAAGAGUUGUAAAUGACUAAAGCGUUAUGCUCUCAUCAUUAUUUUUUGCUAACCAACAUCGUAUCAUCGUGAGGUGGGCUUGGUAAUGGUGAGUCUCCCAUACCCCGCUAAGAGUUCAAACAUAACUCUCGAAUUCCAUUGAGGGAUGUGGAAUUUGCCAAAAAUAGUGGGUGGUACUAUUUGAUUUAAGACCCAAUCAAGUAGUUUUAAAAUCAACAAUCUAAUACGAUUUUUGUUAUUUUAUGUAGUUAAAGACAUGCCUAAAAUUACACCCACCAUUAUACUUGACAAAAGGGGCCUUAGGGGCCAACGUU